This 486-nucleotide long non-coding RNA is filed under the name Salmo salar (Atlantic salmon). RNAcentral describes it as "lncRNA (ENSSSAG00000112142.1)". Lineage: Eukaryota; Metazoa; Chordata; Actinopteri; Salmoniformes; Salmonidae. The record is from RNAcentral.
GUAGGGCACUAUAUGGGGUAUAGGGCCUUGGUUAAAGGUAGGGCACUAUAUGGGGAAUAGGGCCUUGGUUAAAGGUAGGGCACUAUAUGGGGAAUAGGGCCUUGGUUAAAGGUAGUGGACUAUAUGGGGAAUAGGGCCUUGGUUAAAGGUAGGGCACUAUAUGGGGAAUAGGGCCUUGGUUAAAGGUAGGGCACUAUAUGGGGAAUAGAGCCUUGGUUAAAGGUAGGGCACUAUAUGGGGAAUAGGGCCUUGGUUAAAGGUAGGGCACUAUAUGGGGAAUAGGGCCUUGGUUAAUGGUAGGGCACUAUAUGGGGAAUAGGGCCUUGGUUAAUGGUAGGGCACUAUAUGGGGAAUAGGGCCUUGGUUAAAGGUAGGGCACUAUAUGGGGAAUAGGGCCUUGGUUAAAGGUAGGGCACUAUAUGGGGAAUAGGGCCUUGGUUAAUGGUAGGGCACUAUAUGGGGAAUAGGGCCUUGGUUAAAGGUGGU